CCUACAGUUGCUUCGGCGGACUCGCCCCGGCGUCCGGACGGCCUAGCGCCGCCCGCGGCCCGGACCCAGGCGGCCGCCGGAGACCACCAAACUCUUUGUAUUAUCAGUGUAUUCUGAAUCCGCCGCAAGGCAACACAAAUGAAUCAAAACUUUCAACAACGGAUCUCUUGGUUCUGGCAUCGAUGAAGAACGCAGCGAAAUGCGAUAAGUAAUGUGAAUUGCAGAAUUCAGUGAAUCAUCGAAUCUUUGAACGCACAUUGCGCCCGCCAGCAUUCUGGCGGGCAUGCCUGUUCGAGCGUCAUUUCAACCCUCGACCUCCCCUUGGGGAAGUCGGCGUUGGGGACCGGCAGCAUACCGCCGGCCCCGAAAUGGAGUGGCGGCCCGUCCGCGGCGACCUCUGCGUAGUAAUCCAACCUCGCACCGGAACCCCGACGUGGCCACGCCGUAAAACCCCCAACUUUCUGAACGUUGACCUCGGAUCAGGUAGGAAUACCCGCUGAACUUAAGCAUAUCA
This 514-nucleotide ribosomal RNA is filed under the name Paracorniculantispora psalliotae. RNAcentral's name for it is "eukaryotic LSU rRNA". The stretch from base 148 to 301 matches the Rfam family "5.8S ribosomal RNA". The record is from RNAcentral. Lineage: Eukaryota; Fungi; Ascomycota; Sordariomycetes; Hypocreales; Cordycipitaceae.